This 545-nucleotide ribosomal RNA is filed under the name uncultured fungus. RNAcentral's name for it is "eukaryotic LSU rRNA". The stretch from base 198 to 351 matches the Rfam family "5.8S ribosomal RNA". The record is from RNAcentral. Lineage: Eukaryota; Fungi.
GUCGUACAGGUCCCCGUAGGUGAGCCUGCGGAGGGAUCAUUACAAGAACGCCCGGGCUUCGGCCUGGUUAUUCAUAACCCUUUGUUGUCCGACUCUGUUGCCUCCGGGGCGACCCUGCCUUCGGGCGGGGGCUCCGGGUGGACACUUCAAACUCUUGCGUAACUUUGCAGUCUGAGUAAACUUAAUUAAUAAAUUAAAACUUUUAACAACGGAUCUCUUGGUUCUGGCAUCGAUGAAGAACGCAGCGAAAUGCGAUAAGUAAUGUGAAUUGCAGAAUUCAGUGAAUCAUCGAAUCUUUGAACGCACAUUGCGCCCCCUGGUAUUCCGGGGGGCAUGCCUGUUCGAGCGUCAUUUCACCACUCAAGCCUCGCUUGGUAUUGGGCAACGCGGUCCGCCGCGUGCCUCAAAUCGUCCGGCUGGGUCUUCUGUCCCCUAAGCGUUGUGGAAACUAUUCGCUAAAGGGUGUUCGGGAGGCUACGCCGUAAAACAACCCCAUUUCUAAGGUUGACCUCGGAUCAGGUAGGGAUACCCGCUGAACUUAAGCA